AUGCGAUUCCAAGAUGUAGAGAAAGCAAGGGAAUUUUAUAACAGAUACACUAGACACGCUGGUUUUGGAAUCAGGAAGACGGGAGGGAAUGACAAUCACAAGUAUUUUGUUUGCGCGUUCCAAGGAAAACACACAACUUCUGUUUCAGAGGCUGACAGGCAGCGAAACAAAACAUCGCAGAGGAUAGGCUGCAAAGCAAGAAUGAGGGUGAAGGUGCAGGAGGAUAACACAUGCGUGGCAGUGGACAUUGAGUACAAUCAUAAUCACCAACUCAUGCAAACUGACGACAUGCUGGUAUUCUUGCACUCACACAAGAAUUAUGACCCCACUAUUUUGGAGUACGUAAAGCUCCUGCAGUACCAUGAUGUCAAGCACACAACAAUCAUGUCCAUGUUGUCUGAAAAUGAAGAUGGGAGCUACUUCCUAAGCAUGACCAGACGAGACCUACUAAACCAGAAAGCCAUGAAUUCAAGGAAAGAUGAUUUGGAUGAUGUAUUGAAACUUGUUUCAUUCUUCAAAGACAUGAAAGCAAUCAAUGACGAGUUUUUCUAUGACAUACAAUCCAAUGCAAGCUGCCAAGGAGCGUAUCAAGACUUUGGCGAUUGCGUAACAUUCGACACAACUUACAAGACCAACAGGUUUCAUAUGCCUCUCCGAGUGUUUGUUGGAACAAACCAUCACUUGUAGUCAACAAUAUUUGCUGUUGUCCUGAUCAGAGAUGAAGAUGCAAAGUCAUUCAAGUGGUUGUUCGAUACAUUCAUGCCCAACUUGCAUUCUAACAGGUCUGUACUGGUUCAUGCAGACCAGUGCCUGUCGAUGGUGAAAGCUAUACCACAAUCAUUUCCAAACACCGUCCACAAGCUAUGCCGUUGGCACAUCAUGAAGAAGUACAUGGAAUACCUCGCGUUGCUGUACAAAAAGUAUAAAACAUUCAAAGAGGAGUUCACAGCUAUAUUAAACUGGCCACUAAUGCCAACGGAGUUUGAAGCUGCCUGGGCUGAACUCGUGCACAAGUACAACCUAGAGAAAGACCAGAUGAUGAUACAGGUGUGAAGUGAUAGGAAAAUGUGGAUUUCAGCAUAUUACAAGAAAAUUUUCUGUGCUAGAAUGACUUCCACACAACAAAGUGAGAGCAUGAACCACGUGCUCAAGAAAGGGUUUGUCAAGGGGACCCAGAACCUGCACAAGUUUGCUAGGUGGGUAAAUGCUUGCAUACAAACUCGGAUGCAGAAGAAGAACGAGCAGACAAUGACCAGCAUGGUAUGA
RNAcentral lists this ribosomal RNA (1266 nucleotides) under Triticum aestivum (bread wheat). Its description in RNAcentral is "partial small subunit ribosomal RNA". The record is from RNAcentral. Lineage: Eukaryota; Viridiplantae; Streptophyta; Magnoliopsida; Poales; Poaceae.